RNAcentral lists this ribosomal RNA (530 nucleotides) under uncultured Flavobacteriia bacterium. RNAcentral describes it as "bacterial SSU rRNA". It matches the Rfam family "Bacterial small subunit ribosomal RNA", at positions 360 to 884 of the family's 1533-position model. Lineage: Bacteria; Pseudomonadati; Bacteroidota; Flavobacteriia. The record is from RNAcentral.
AAUAUUGGACAAUGGGCGAGAGCCUGAUCCAGCCAUGCCGCGUGCAGGAAGACGGCCCUAUGGGUUGUAAACUGCUUUUUUACGGGAAGAAACACCCCCACGUGUGGGGGGCUUGACGGUACCGUACGAAUAAGGACCGGCUAUACUCCGUGCCAGCAGCCGCGGUAAUACGGAGGGUCCGAGCGUUAUCCGGAAUCAUUGGGUUUAAAGGGUCCGUAGGCGGACGUCUAAGUCAGUGGUGAAAUUCUGCAGCUCAACUGUAGAACUGCCAUUGAUACUGGUCGUCUUGAAUCGUUGUGAAGUGGCUAGAAUAUGUAGUGUAGCGGUGAAAUGCUUAGAUAUUACAUAGAAUACCGAUUGCGAAGGCAGGUCACUAACAACGUAUUGACGCUGAUGGACGAAAGCGUGGGGAGCGAACAGGAUUAGAUACCCUGGUAGUCCACGCCGUAAACGAUGGAUACUAGCUGUCCGGUGCACAUUGGUGUGCUGGGUGSCAAGCGAAAGUGAUAAGUAUCCCACCUGGGAGUACG